Molecule: long non-coding RNA, 327 nt
Filed under: Lathyrus oleraceus (garden pea)
Lineage: Eukaryota; Viridiplantae; Streptophyta; Magnoliopsida; Fabales; Fabaceae
Description: Pisum sativum (pea) long non-coding RNA (PSAT_LNC032913)
Source: RNAcentral
UCUACAAAUUUCUCUUUCUCAUUGAUGGAACAAUGGACCACAAAGCUCUUUCAUUUAUUACUUACACAUUGUUGGCCCAUAACCAAAUUCCUUUUUCCCUCACCUGUUUUUUGUCACCAAUACUUUAAUAUUAUUGGUACUAUUUCAAGCAACAAGAACCAAAUUAGUGGAGCUCAUAUUUCCUUUGUAACAAAAAGUAGAACCAACUUUAACCAUUUGAUUAUUUUGUCCUUAGUUUACCAAAACAAAUAGAACCAAACUCUAAAACUAGUGCCCCAGCUCAGUCUCUUAAUCAACCGUCCAGAUUAUGACAAAAAAUUAGUAGAC